Molecule: long non-coding RNA, 269 nt
Organism: Pectinophora gossypiella (pink bollworm)
Lineage: Eukaryota; Metazoa; Arthropoda; Insecta; Lepidoptera; Gelechiidae
Exons: 2
Source: RefSeq, a predicted model, not a curated record
CUCAUUUGGAAGCUAAAUAUCAUAUUUAGCGUUGUCUCUGACUAACACUAAAAUGUCUAAAGUACUUACUUUAACGUUUCUUUUGGCGAUAGCUGUUGCCGUGCUGUCGGUGACUGUUGAAGACGCCCACCAAGAAGAAAACUUGGUGCGUAUACCCAGGACGACUUGUACCAACAUGGCCUGCAAUGUUCACUGCAUCAUACGAGGGUACAAAAACGGCAAAUGCGAAAAGGCAAACGUUUGUCGCUGCUAUAAAUAAUUCCGAAUCA